GACGAACGCUGGCGGCGUGCUUAACACAUGCAAGUCGAACGGAAAGGCCCUGCUUUUGUGGGGUGCUCGAGUGGCGAACGGGUGAGUAACACGUGAGUAACCUGCCCUUGACUUUGGGAUAACUUCAGGAAACUGGGGCUAAUACCGGAUAGGAGCUCCUGCUGCAUGGUGGGGGUUGGAAAGUUUCGGCGGUUGGGGAUGGACUCGCGGCUUAUCAGCUUGUUGGUGGGGUAGUGGCUUACCAAGGCUUUGACGGGUAGCCGGCCUGAGAGGGUGACCGGCCACAUUGGGACUGAGAUACGGCCCAGACUCCUACGGGAGGCAGCAGUGGGGAAUAUUGCACAAUGGGCGGAAGCCGGAUGCAGCAACGCCGCGUGCGGGAUGACGGCCUUCGGGUGGUAAACCGCUUUCGCCUGUGACGAAGCGUGAGUGACGGUAAUGGGUAAAGAAGCACCGGCGAACUACGU
Molecule: ribosomal RNA, 467 nt
Filed under: uncultured bacterium
Lineage: Bacteria
Description: partial 16S ribosomal RNA
Rfam family: Bacterial small subunit ribosomal RNA
Source: RNAcentral